This 334-nucleotide unclassified non-coding RNA is filed under the name soil metagenome. RNAcentral describes it as "partial contains 5.8S ribosomal RNA, internal transcribed spacer 2, and large subunit ribosomal RNA". The stretch from base 1 to 120 matches the Rfam family "5.8S ribosomal RNA", at positions 35 to 154 of the family's 154-position model. The record is from RNAcentral.
GAUGAAGAACGUAGCGAAAUGCGAUACGUAAUGUGAAUUGCAGAAUUCAGUGAAUCAUCGAAUCUUUGUACGCACAUUGCGCCCGCCAGCACUCUGGCGGGCAUGCCUGUUCGAGCGUCAUUUCAACCAUCAAGCCCCAGGCUUGCGUUGGAGCCCUGCGGCUGCCGCAGCCUCCUAAAAGCAGUGGCGGGCUCGCUAUCACACCGAGUGCAGUAGAUUACUCUUCGCUCAGGGCGUGCAGCGGGUUCCGGCCGUGAAACCCCCUACUUUUAAAGGUUGACCUCGGAUCAGGUAGGAAUACCCGCUGAACUUAAGCAUAUCAAUAACCGGAGGA